CACACUUGCUGUGAACUCGAAGAGUAGGGCGGGACACGUGGUAUCCUGUCUGAAUAUGGGGGGACCAUCCUCCAAGGCUAAAUACUCCUGACUGACCGAUAGUGAACCAGUACCGUGAGGGAAAGGCGAAAAGAACCCCGGCGAGGGGAGUGAAAAAGAACCUGAAACCGUGUACGUACAAGCAGUGGGAGCCUCUUAUGGGGUGACUGCGUACCUUUUGUAUAAUGGGUCAGCGACUUAUAUUCUGUAGCAAGGUUAACCGUAUAGGGGAGCCGAAGGGAAACCGAGUCUUAACUGGGCGUUAAGUUGCAGGGUAUAGACCCGAAACCCGGUGAUCUAGCCAUGGGCAGGUUGAAGGUUGGGUAACACUAACUGGAGGACCGAACCGACUAAUGUUGAAAAAUUAGCGGAUGACUUGUGGCUGGGGGUGAAAGGCCAAUCAAACCGGGAGAUAGCUGGUUCUCCCCGAAAGCUAUUUAGGUAGCGCCUCGUGAACUCAUCUUCGGGGGUAGAGCACUGUUUCGGCUAGGGGGCCAUCCCGGCUUACCAACCCGAUGCAAACUACGAAUACCGAAGAAUGUUAUCACGGGAGACACACGGCGGGUGCUAACGUCCGUCGUGAAGAGGGAAACAACCCAGACCGCCAGCUAAGGUCCCAAAGUCAUGGUUAAGUGGGAAACGAUGUGGGAAGGCACAGACAGCCAGGAUGUUGGCUUAGAAGCAGCCAUCAUUUAAAGAAAGCGUAAUAGCUCACUGGUCGAGUCGGCCUGCGCGGAAGAUGUAACGGGGCUAAACCAUGCACCGAAGCUGCGGCAGCGAC
Molecule: ribosomal RNA, 820 nt
Filed under: Escherichia coli
Lineage: Bacteria; Pseudomonadati; Pseudomonadota; Gammaproteobacteria; Enterobacterales; Enterobacteriaceae
Description: partial 23S ribosomal RNA
Rfam family: Bacterial large subunit ribosomal RNA
Source: RNAcentral